RNAcentral lists this ribosomal RNA (495 nucleotides) under uncultured bacterium. RNAcentral describes it as "partial 16S ribosomal RNA". It matches the Rfam family "Bacterial small subunit ribosomal RNA", at positions 28 to 507 of the family's 1533-position model. The record is from RNAcentral.
GAUGAACGCUGGCGGCGUGCCUAAUACAUGCGAGUAGAACGCUGAAAGAGGAGCUUGCUCUUCUGGAUGAGUUGCGAACGGGUGAGUAACGCGUAGGUAACCUGCCUGGUAGCGGGGGAUAACUAUUGGAAACGAUAGCUAAUACCGCAUGACAACAGUUAUUGCAUGAUAACUGUUUAAAAGGGGCAACUGCUCCACUACCAGAUGGACCUGCGUUGUAUUAGCUAGUUGGUGAGGUAACGGCUCACCAAGGCGACGAUACAUAGCCGACCUGAGAGGGUGAUCGGCCACACUGGGACUGAGACACGGCCCAGACUCCUACGGGAGGCAGCAGUAGGGAAUCUUCGGCAAUGGACGGAAGUCUGACCGAGCAACGCCGCGUGAGUGAAGAAGGUUUUCGGAUCGUAAAGCUCUGUUGUAAGAGAAGAACGAGUGUGAGAGUGGAAAGUUCACACUGUGACGGUAUCUUACCAGAAAGGGACGGCUAACUACGUG